GCCUUCGUGGUGUAGUGGUCAGCACGGUUGACGCGAAACCGAGAGGUCCGUGGUUCGAUUCCCGGCGAAGGCG
Molecule: transfer RNA, 73 nt
Filed under: Stegodyphus mimosarum
Lineage: Eukaryota; Metazoa; Arthropoda; Arachnida; Araneae; Eresidae
Rfam family: tRNA
About the family: Transfer RNA (tRNA) molecules are approximately 80 nucleotides in length. Their secondary structure includes four short double-helical elements and three loops (D, anti-codon, and T loops).
Source: Rfam by way of RNAcentral